GGCGGCAUAGCCAAGUGGUAAGGCAGGAGCCUGCAAAGCUUUCACCCCCAGUUCGAAUCUGGGUGCCGCCU
This 71-nucleotide transfer RNA is filed under the name Candidatus Galligastranaerophilus faecipullorum. Its description in RNAcentral is "tRNA-Cys". It matches the Rfam family "tRNA". Rfam says of the family: Transfer RNA (tRNA) molecules are approximately 80 nucleotides in length. Their secondary structure includes four short double-helical elements and three loops (D, anti-codon, and T loops). RNAcentral also lists the same sequence under 1 other name. The record is from RNAcentral. Lineage: Bacteria; Bacillati; Candidatus Melainabacteria; Candidatus Gastranaerophilales; Candidatus Gastranaerophilaceae.